Molecule: ribosomal RNA, 244 nt
Filed under: uncultured Alphaproteobacteria bacterium
Lineage: Bacteria; Pseudomonadati; Pseudomonadota; Alphaproteobacteria
Description: partial 16S ribosomal RNA
Rfam family: Bacterial small subunit ribosomal RNA
Source: RNAcentral
CUCUUUUACCAGGGAUGAUAAUGACAGUACCUGGAGAAUAAGCUCCGGCUAACUCCGUGCCAGCAGCCGCGGUAAUACGGAGGGAGCUAGCGUUGUUCGGAAUUACUGGGCGUAAAGCGCACGUAGGCGGUUAUUCAAGUCAGAGGUGAAAGCCCGGGGCUCAACCCCGGAACUGCCUUUGAAACUAGAUAACUAGAAUCCUGGAGAGGUGAGUGGAAUUCCGAGUGUAGAGGUGAAAUUCGUA